This 253-nucleotide ribosomal RNA is filed under the name uncultured bacterium. RNAcentral describes it as "partial 16S ribosomal RNA". It matches the Rfam family "Bacterial small subunit ribosomal RNA", at positions 524 to 776 of the family's 1533-position model. The record is from RNAcentral.
UACGUAGGGUCCGAGCGUUGUCCGGAAUUAUUGGGCGUAAAGGGCUCGUAGGCGGUUUGUCACGUCGGAAGUGAAAUCUUACAGCUUAACUGUGAACUUGCUUUCGAUACGGGCAGACUUGAGGCAUUCAGGGGAGAACGGAAUUCCUGGUGUAGCGGUGAAAUGCGUAGAUAUCGUAAGGAAGACCAGUGGCGAAGGCGGGUCUCUGGACAGUUCCUGACGCUGAGGCACGAAAGCCAGGGGAGCGAACGGG